Molecule: ribosomal RNA, 443 nt
Filed under: uncultured bacterium
Lineage: Bacteria
Description: bacterial SSU rRNA
Rfam family: Bacterial small subunit ribosomal RNA
Source: RNAcentral
GAGUUUGAUCCUGGCUCAGGAUGAACGCUGGCGGCGUGCCUAACACAUGCAAGUCGAACGGGGUCUUAGUACGGAAGUUUUCGGAUGGAAGGAUUAAGACUUAGUGGCGGACGGGUGAGUAACGCGUGGGUAACCUGCCCUGUACAGGGGGAUAACAGUUGGAAACGGCUGCUAAAACCGCAUAACAUGGAGAUACCGCAUGAUAUUUCCAUCAAAUAUUUAUAGGUACAGGAUGGGCCCGCGUCUGAUUAGCCAGUUGGCAGGGUAAUGGCCUACCAAAGCGACGAUCAGUAGCCGGCUUGAGAGAGUGACCGGCCACAUUGGGACUGAGACACGGCCCAAACUCCUACGGGAGGCAGCAGUGGGGGAUAUUGCACAAUGGGGGAAACCCUGAUGCAGCGACGCCGCGUGAGUGAAGAAGUAUUUCGGUAUGUAAAGCUCUA